GCUCAGUUGGUAAAGUACAAGGCUCUUAACCUUGUGGACGUGGAUUCAAGUCCCAU
This 56-nucleotide transfer RNA is filed under the name Triticum aestivum (bread wheat). It matches the Rfam family "tRNA", at positions 10 to 63 of the family's 71-position model. From Rfam's summary of the family: Transfer RNA (tRNA) molecules are approximately 80 nucleotides in length. Their secondary structure includes four short double-helical elements and three loops (D, anti-codon, and T loops). The record is from Rfam by way of RNAcentral. Lineage: Eukaryota; Viridiplantae; Streptophyta; Magnoliopsida; Poales; Poaceae.